This 2214-nucleotide ribosomal RNA is filed under the name Triticum aestivum (bread wheat). Its description in RNAcentral is "partial small subunit ribosomal RNA". The record is from RNAcentral. Lineage: Eukaryota; Viridiplantae; Streptophyta; Magnoliopsida; Poales; Poaceae.
AUGGCGAGAGAGUCCACGGCGAGCGAAAUCUUCCGCCGUCGCCUGAUGAUCGAUGGUGUCGACCGGAAAGACGCCAAAGACAACCAGUCCGCGGCGCUGGAUCACCUCCACGAUUACUACAAGAAGGCGCUCCAUCGACUACCGCCCAAGCUGAUCCCGAGCCUCCUCGAGGCCGGCUUCAGCUUCGGUUUCCUCGACCCCGUCUCCAACAUCAUCGCCAACACCGUCUCCCAAGAGCUACAAAAGAGUAGGAAGAGGAAGAGAUCACGGGCCGGCAGCUACACCAACACAAAGAAGGGGAAGGAAAAGAAGCAUUCGCAGGGACUGAGGGACACGGCCAUCUCCAAGAUCAUCACAGAGUCUAGCAAAGACAUCUUACUCGUACCCCGGUUCACCACACUCCGGAACAGCAGCAUUGCUGCCCGAUCUCUUGCCGGCCUCGUUACUUUCCUCACCUCCUACUUCCGCUACCUUACCACCUGUGAUGCCCUCCGCUACCUGCGUUUGUCAGAAGCCGACCUUCUCGUCGCUGUGCGUCUCAUCCACGAAGAUCGUGACAUCCACACCUUCACCAUCCACGUCCCUACUGCAAAAAUAGCUCUGCAAUGUGCUGCCAUCUCCGCGUUGCAUCCCACUGUCGCCAUAUUGGUGUCUCGAUCCUUCUCGCUGGCUUCCUGUGUGGACAAGGCCUCCAACCUUCUAGCGACACAGGACUGCAUCAGCUAUUCCAAUAUAAUGGAACUCUCCAAGUUAUUCACCUCCAGCAAGGAUACGAUAAACCAAUUGAAUCAUGUACAUCACGCAGUUUCAAAGAUGCAACGCAGAAAAAGGAAGACUAUUCUGGUUGAGCUUGGGCUAGAAAUCUCUCUCAAGAUGGUGCUUCUUGAUCGAAUCCAUCUGUUCUACCUCAAGGCGAUUUCCUGCAUACCAAAGAAUGACUUGUGCUCACGCCACCACCGUGGUCUCCUUAAGGCUGGCCACUGCUACGGUCCUUUCGAUCCUGUGACCAACAUCAUCCUCAACACCAUUUGGUAUGACACCAUGUUUCCUCCAAGUCAAGAGUUUGAGGUUGAAAUGAUCUGCACAAAGAGCCUCGCGCGCACCGAGUUCCUCUCCCUAUGUGGUCUUGUUGGCUACAUCUGUGCCUGCUUCCCUGCUUAUUCUGUAUAUGAAGCUAUGAAGUGCCUGCUUCUCUGCAACGCCAGAAUUGAUCGGGUCAUUGAUGAAACAGCAAAAGAACAAGGUCACGAUGGACACAUCCCUUUUUCUGAAUCUUUUGCGUAUGAUACAGCAGCUCGCACAGCACGUCAUCCCAGCCCUACUGCACUCGUAGAAUUUGCAAUGACACUGAUGCCACAGGUAGGGAAAACCCUUCAGUCAACACUUGAGAUUAAGCAGGUCCUCUCUUCCAGUGAUGUUUGUGCGAUAUCUAGAACUUUUUCACAAACAUUACCGCCUGCCAAAUCUUUGGAGCCGGUUGAGAAAUUGAGCGAGAAUGCCUCCAAGAUUAUAUCUGAGCACCAGGAUAACUUUAAGGCUUGCCAGAGUACAAUUGUCAAAAAAGCUGAAGCUGCAUUACACAGAUAUGCAAAAAAGACGGGACAGGAAUACGAGCUUCAUUUUAUCUGUGAUGUGAAUUCUACAAUACCUGAGCAUGGCGCAUGCUACUGCCCGCACAGCUACAAAUACCCAUUUGCUCACAUGAAUGUCUGGGCAAGACGAAGAGGUUCCCAGAACGUUGAUCAAGUUCCAACGCUCUUCUUCAUCCAGUUUAACAAUAGGGAUGAAGACAUGGAAAGUGUGGCAUUUUUGUGCUGUCCUAUAUUUGAUCUAUCAAAAGAUGCUGGUCGCUGCUAUCAUUGUGAGCAAAAGGGGAUCAAGAUCAUUCAUCCAUCUUCAGAACCAUACAUUGGGCGUGACGCAGAAUUUGAAGGUAUGGCUCGUGGAGAAAGUGCAGUGAACAACAAAGAACUUAUUCGAUAUGGGCAGAUCGGUACUUUGCUUGAUUGUACGAUCGAAGACGAAGACUCCAUCUAUUUUGAUCCUGCCUGGGAUGUUGAUUUUACUAUAUUUAUCAAUGAGACUGCUAGGGAUCGAGCGAUGGUGCAGAAAUUGAUGAAGGAUAGUCCAGGGAGCGUGAGCGACUGGAUAGACAAAAUGAUGUAUGAGGAGUCUUUGAAACCUAAGUUAGCAAGGAAAAUCAUAUACGCCUGA